CCUACGGGGGGCAGCAGUGGGGAAUAUUGGACAAUGGGGGCAACCCUGACCCAGCCAUGCCGCGUGUGUGAAGAAGGCCCUCGGGUUGUAAAGCACUUUCAGUGAGGAAGAACGCCUGGUGGUUAAUACCCAUCAGGAAAGACAUCACUCACAGAAGAAGCACCGGCUAACUCCGUGCCAGCAGCCGCGGUAAUACGGAGGGUGCGAGCGUUAAUCGGAAUUACUGGGCGUAAAGCGCGCGUAGGUGGCUUGAUAAGCCGGUUGUGAAAGCCCCGGGCUCAACCUGGGAACGGCAUCCGGAACUGUCAAGCUAGAGUGCAGGAGAGGAAGGUAGAAUUCCCGGUGUAGCGGUGAAAUGCGUAGAGAUCGGGAGGAAUACCAGUGGCGAAGGCGGCCUUCUGGACUGACACUGACACUGAGGUGCGAAAGCGUGGGUAGCAAACAGGAUUAGAUACCCGAGUAGUC
This 465-nucleotide ribosomal RNA is filed under the name Vreelandella stevensii. RNAcentral describes it as "partial 16S ribosomal RNA". It matches the Rfam family "Bacterial small subunit ribosomal RNA", at positions 338 to 795 of the family's 1533-position model. The record is from RNAcentral. Lineage: Bacteria; Pseudomonadati; Pseudomonadota; Gammaproteobacteria; Oceanospirillales; Halomonadaceae.